RNAcentral lists this ribosomal RNA (465 nucleotides) under uncultured Klebsiella sp. RNAcentral describes it as "bacterial SSU rRNA". It matches the Rfam family "Bacterial small subunit ribosomal RNA", at positions 338 to 795 of the family's 1533-position model. The record is from RNAcentral. Lineage: Bacteria; Pseudomonadati; Pseudomonadota; Gammaproteobacteria; Enterobacterales; Enterobacteriaceae.
CCUACGGGUGGCAGCAGUGGGGAAUAUUGCACAAUGGGCGCAAGCCUGAUGCAGCCAUGCCGCGUGUGUGAAGAAGGCCUUCGGGUUGUAAAGCACUUUCAGCGGGGAGGAAGGCGGUGAGGUUAAUAACCUCAUCGAUUGACGUUACCCGCAGAAGAAGCACCGGCUAACUCCGUGCCAGCAGCCGCGGUAAUACGGAGGGUGUAAGCGUUAAUCGGAAUUACUGGGCGUAAAGCGCACGCAGGCGGUCUGUCAAGUCGGAUGUGAAAUCCCCGGGCUCAACCUGGGAACUGCAUUCGAAACUGGCAGGCUAGAGUCUUGUAGAGGGGGGUAGAAUUCCAGGUGUAGCGGUGAAAUGCGUAGAGAUCUGGAGGAAUACCGGUGGCGAAGGCGGCCCCCUGGACAAAGACUGACGCUCAGGUGCGAAAGCGUGGGGAGCAAACAGGAUUAGAUACCCGGGUAGUC